UGGCAUUAAGUACAUUGAGAUUGUUUUGUAACUAUCACCACCAUCCAUCUCCAGAACUCUUUCCUCUUUCCAAAUUGAAACUCAGUACUCAUUAAACAACACGAAAUCCCCAUUUCCCUCCUUCCUUCAGCUCCUGGAAACCACCAUUCUACUGUCUGUUUCUAUGAAUUUGACUGUCCUAGGUACCUCAUAUAAGUGGAAUUAUAUAAUAUUUGUCCUUUCGUGACUGGCUUAUUUCAUUUAGUGUAAUGUCUUCAAGGGUUAUCCAUGUUGUAGAAGGUGUCAGAAUUUCCUUCCAUUGCAGUAUACACCACACUUUGUUUAGUUAUUCAUCCGUGAUGGACACCUGAGUUGCUUCUGUCUUUUGGCAGUUCACACCCUCUUCUUAACCGUCUUGACCUGCAAGUGACACCUGUCUCUUCUGAUCACAUUCCACAGGAGGACGUAUGACAUAGCCCCACCUACAUGCAAGGGGAGCCAGGAAGUGUAAUCCCUGGCUGGGCUGCCUUGUCUCAGAAACCAUUAAGCCUAUGGAAGGUCUCUGGAUUUGAUGGCAAAUAGCAGCAGAAAUGUGGAAAAGAUCAAAGUGAUGUCAAGGUUGAUCUCUGAGUUUGGCAGGGCUGAACUCAAACAUCAUUCGCCAUGGACCCACAGUGUCUUUAGUAGCUGAGUAGGGUCAUUCCCCUGUGAUAUGUGCACUCAAUUGCUAGCCAGUUUUGAAGAUGUUGAGUAUCUGGUUUCCCCUUCCCCACACUGGCCCUCACUGAGAUCUAUUUCUAAUAUUAUGAAAGUCAUACAUUAUCAUCAUAAACUAAUCAUAAAUGUCAGUGUGCUACAAAAACUUAUUCAGAAAACAUUCAGAUUCUCCCAUCAACAUAUGCCACUAUGCUGGCAAAAGCUCUGAUUUAAAACACUUAUUUCAUUUUCCUCUCUGAUUUUGUUCUAGUCUUCAAAAUGAUUUCAUACAACAAAGCACUGAGUUCCUUAGUUCCUCUGACCCCUGCCAGAUCUGAAGCUGUGAUGUUCAAAACUCAGGGCGGAGUCAAUCUUAUGACUGAGUUUCAUAAGAGUCUAAGCCGCUCAUCAACAUACUGUGGCAGAGUAAGCUUUCUGGGUUCCAGAAUUUAUUUUGAGUGGGUUGAGGGAGUUGAGAAAUGGCAUGGGAGGCCUAAAGAUAAAAGGACUUUUGAAUGAAAGUUAUAGGAAAGUGGAUUUGAGAUCAAAACAAGCGAAGGUUGACCAUAGUUGGAACCAUUUAAGAUUGGUGGGGGUAGUGGGCUUCCGGUUCUUAACCAAGGCCAGGCAGAGGUAUGACAACAGUCAGGGGUUCUAAACGGGAUGGGAGGUUGGAUUAGAUGAGCCUUCAACCUUUGUGUUGAACUAAAAUCCUAGCUCUGCUUUCAACUCCUAGACUCCCUUUUAUCAUUGCUAAAUUGGAAAGAGGGAGCAACUGAGAGUCCCUGCUGGUCAUGCCUGGGGUGCCCCAGACCACAGCACUGAGCCUCAAAGGCAAGUGAGCAUAGUGUUGGGAGUUGAGCUUCUGGAUCCAUCAACUCCAUCUGAUGACUUGGAAGUUCCUUCAGUUCCCGACACUGGAGUCCAGCAAGGCUGGUUUGUCUUGUUUUAAUUAUUAUUUAGAUGACUAUUUGGCUCAUACCUGAGUAAGGUUCGAAUCAAGUCAGACCUGUUAAUUGAAUCAAAGUUAUAUAAUCACAUUUGGGCACUUAAAUGUAAACCAAUUAUGUUGGAGCCCAAGUAUCUUGUACUCAAGAGGGAGUUCUAAUAAGUGCUGGGAAUGUAUGCUAAUGCACAAAGCCUAACCCCCAGAGUGGAGGGUGGAGCACUCCAGGGCACUCCUGUUUCGGUGACAUUGUUGUAAUAGUUAGCACUCUGGGCGCAGUCUGGGAAGAUACUGGAAACAUCUCAAACAAGUACGACAUCCAUUCCACCCAAGCCCAUGGAACCCAUUACAUUUGGAACAUGUCUUUCUGUGGCGUUUGGCUUGGCUUAUAAAUGUACUAUCAGAAUCUGUGGGAGGCCUUCACAAGAAGACCUUUCUUGGCCUUUCUGGUUAUCAGCAUUCCCUCCACCUCUUUCUUAACAAACAUGCCGUAAGGCCUGAUCAGGCAUUUAGUUUUUCCAUUUGGACCUUUUUCUAGUUCCUAAUCUCAACCCCAAUGCCUCCUAAUCUUGUACUUCUUCAAAUAUUGGCCCCCCCUCUACUAUGGGAGAGAGAGGAAAGUAGGGAGGAGAAGGAGGAAAAGUUAUUGAAUUGAUAUGAGGGUAGUCAACCUAAAGCAACAAUCAGGAGGAAGGCACUGGACUUGAGUUUGAAGUGUUUGUCACUGAACUCUCUCAAACUCAUCCAGGCUAACUAGCCUCAGAGGGCUUCUAGCCCAUAGUCUUCUUGUAUUUUCUGCCCUCCUCACUUGAAGAGGGAGGGAACCAGAUGUCCAGGCUCUGUCCAAUGUUAAGAACUGGCCUGGCAGGCUUUGUUGGGACCAUCCAGCCUUGAAAGCCUCACAACCAAACGCCAUCACAGGCACUUUCUGCCCUUAGCCCUUGUCUGUGUCUCCUACAUGAACUCAGACUGCCUCUGAAGAGGGACAUUCUAGGGAGAGUUUCAUCUUCAUCACCAUCCUGGAUAGGGAACGCUUCCAGACUCAGAGUUGCAAAAGUCAGGGAGAGGUUGCUCACUGGAGGUGGAGUCCUUUGGCCAGGUUUCACUGUAAACACAUGGCUAAAAUGUGUUGCACAUGGACAGGCAUGCUAGUGUGUCCUGUAUAUAUGCUAGUGUGUCUCAUACAGCUUCUGGCUAAAGGACAUUGACCUCAGCAAGGCCAAAUGAGGCAUCAGGAUGAACUCUUCCAAUAGACUUCAUUAGACCCACAGAAGACUGACCUUUGCCUGACUUUGGAUUACCCCUUUCUUGCCAGGAAUUAUGUCCAAUGACUGUAACUGGAACUAGAGGUCUUGAUAGCCACACUUUGCUUGGUGUGGCUUCUCAGUCUUUUGAGACACGGCUAUCAAGGGCUCAUGUUUAUUCCAGGUCAUCCCUUUACCCCUUUCCUCCAGGGGCAUCUAUGGCAACAAAAGAUCAUGACAUCUGGCAGCACUGGCGGGACUAUUUAGUUUAGGCAGGAAUGUGAGUGUUAGCAUGUCAGAGUACAUCUGAGAAAACAUUCCAAACCAACCUUUCCACACUGGGAACUCAACCCCCAGGAAUCACCAAAGAUAAGGGCAACAGUCUUAUCUCUCGGAGGGAAGUUCAGGGUAAAGGCUGCUCCUGCUGUGGACCAGAGCUCAGGGGAGAAGAAGGCUCAGGCGGACCCUGCCUGUCCACUUGACGAACUUCCACAAAUGCCACUCUGGGGACUGAGGCAUACGAAGUGGGGAAGAAAAUACCAGUCUUGCCCUGGAGCUCUGGGAUGGUGGCUGUACACCCCUAAGGAUGCCAGCAGAACUGAAUUGUGGCCUAUGUGUGUUUGGGAAUUGGGAAAUAAGGAGAUAGAGGGACAGCAGGCAGGG
Molecule: long non-coding RNA, 3528 nt
Organism: Cercocebus atys (sooty mangabey)
Lineage: Eukaryota; Metazoa; Chordata; Mammalia; Primates; Cercopithecidae
Exons: 2
Source: RefSeq, a predicted model, not a curated record